AGAGUUUGAUCCUGGCUCAGAACGAACGCUGGCGGCAUGCCUAACACAUGCAAGUCGAACGAGAAAGCUCCCUUCGGGGAGCCGGUAAAGUGGCGCACGGGUGAGUAACACGUGGGCAAUCUGUCCUCGAGUGGGGAACAACCCAGGGAAACUUGGGCUAAUACCGCAUAACAUCCCGACCUCUCCGGAGGAUGGGAUCAAAGCUGGGGAUCGCAAGACCUGGCGCUUGAGGAGGAGCCUGCGGCUGAUUAGCUUGUUGGUGGGGUAACGGCCUACCAAGGCGACGAUCAGUAGCCGGCCUGAGAGGGUGAUCGGCCACACUGGAACUGAGACACGGUCCAGACUCCUACGGGAGGCAGCAGUGAGGAAUUUUGCGCAAUGGGCGAAAGCCUGACGCAGCAAUGCCGCGUGGAUGAUGAAGGCCUUCGGGUCGUAAAAUCCUGUCAAGCGGGAAGAAACCCCCUCCGUUAAUAGCGGCAGGGGGGUGACUGUACCGCUGGAGGAAGCCCCGGCUAACUCCGUGCCAGCAGCCGCGGUAAUACGGGGGGGGCAAGCGUUGUUCGGAAUUAUUGGGCGUAAAGGGCGCGUAGGCGGCCCUGCAAGUCGGUUGUGAAAUCCCUUGGCUCAACCAAGGAACUGCAACCGAAACUACAGAGCUAGAGUCCGGGAGAGGGUAGUGGAAUUCCCAGUGUAGCGGUG
Molecule: ribosomal RNA, 699 nt
Filed under: uncultured bacterium
Lineage: Bacteria
Description: bacterial SSU rRNA
Rfam family: Bacterial small subunit ribosomal RNA
Source: RNAcentral